RNAcentral lists this ribosomal RNA (465 nucleotides) under uncultured bacterium. Its description in RNAcentral is "bacterial SSU rRNA". It matches the Rfam family "Bacterial small subunit ribosomal RNA", at positions 29 to 536 of the family's 1533-position model. The record is from RNAcentral.
AGCGAACGCUGGCGGCAGGCCUAACACAUGCAAGUCGAACGGAUCCUUCGGGAUUAGUGGCGGACGGGUGAGGAACACGUGGGAACGUGCCUUUUGGUUCGGAACAACUCAGGGAAACUUGAGCUAAUACCGGAUGUGCCCUUCGGGGGAAAGGAUUUAUCGCCAUUAGAGCGGCCCGCGUCUGAUUAGCUAGUUGGUGGGGUAAAGGCUCACCAAGGCUACGAUCAGUAGCUGGUCUGAGAGGAUGAUCAGCCACACUGGGACUGAAACACGGCCCAGACUCCUACGGGAGGCAGCAGUGGGGAAUCUUGCGCAAUGGGCGAAAGCCUGACGCAGCCAUGCCGCGUGAAUGAUGAAGGUCUUAGGAUUGUAAAAUUACUUUCACCGGGGACGAUAAUGACGGUACCCGGAGAAGAAGCCCCGGCUAACUUCGUGCCAGCCGCCGCGGUAAACCACGACAGCGUA